This 301-nucleotide ribosomal RNA is filed under the name uncultured bacterium. Its description in RNAcentral is "partial 16S ribosomal RNA". It matches the Rfam family "Bacterial small subunit ribosomal RNA", at positions 509 to 807 of the family's 1533-position model. The record is from RNAcentral.
CAGCAGCCACGGGAAUACGAAGGGGGCUAGCGUUGUUCGGAAUUACUGGGCGUAAAGCGCACGUAGGCGGAUAUUUAAGUCAGGGGUGAAAUCCCGCAGCUCAACUGCGGAACUGCCUUUGAUACUGGGUAUCUUGAGUAUGGAAGAGGUUAGUGGAAUUGCGAGUGUAGAGGUGAAAUUCGUAGAUAUUCGCAGGAACACCAGUGGCGAAGGCGGCUAACUGGUCCAUAACUGACGCUGAGGUGCGAAAGCGUGGGGAGCAAACAGGAUUAGAUACCCCCGUAGUCCCUGUCUCUUAUAC